This 400-nucleotide unclassified non-coding RNA is filed under the name soil metagenome. Its description in RNAcentral is "partial contains 5.8S ribosomal RNA, internal transcribed spacer 2, and large subunit ribosomal RNA". The stretch from base 1 to 121 matches the Rfam family "5.8S ribosomal RNA", at positions 35 to 154 of the family's 154-position model. The record is from RNAcentral.
GAUGAAGAACGCAGCGAAAUGCGAUAAGUAAUGUGAAUUGCAGAAUUCAGUGAAUCAUCGAAUCUUUGAACGCACCUUGCGCCCUUUGGCUAUUCCGAAGGGCAUGCCUGUUUGAGUAUCGUGAACACCUCAACUCACAUGGUCUGCCAUGAUGAGCUUGGACUUUGGGGGUCUUGCCGGCCUAGCGUCGGCUCCUCUCAAAUGGAUCAGCUUGCCAGUGUUUGGUGGCAUCACAGGUGUGAUAACUAUCUACGCUUGUGGUUUUCUACCAUGUAACCUUCAGCGAUGGAGGUUCGCUGGGGCUCACAGACGUCUCUCCUUGGAGGACAGCUUUUUGAACGUUUGAUCUCAAAUCAGGUAGGACUACCCGCUGAACUUAAGCAUAUCAAUAAGCGGAGGA